CGGGGUCUUUGCAGGUACUCCAAACCCUAUGUGAACGUGCGCAGUAGUUUGCACGAGUACUGCCAAAGCCGGAGUGAACGUGCGCCUCUUUUGUAUGUCCCCUCGCGAACUUUUAUAAUUCUGAACCAUCUCGGCGCCCCUAGCGGGCGUUUCCAAAAUGAAUCAAAACUUUCAACAACGGAUCUCUUGGUUCUGGCAUCGAUGAAGAACGCAGCGAAAUGCGAUAAGUAAUGUGAAUUGCAGAAUUCAGUGAAUCAUCGAAUCUUUGAACGCACAUUGCGCCCGCCAGUAUUCUGGCGGGCAUGCCUGUCCGAGCGUCAUUUCAACCCUCGAACCCCUCCGGGGGUACGGCGUUGGGGAUCGGCCCUUUACGGGGCCGGCCCCGAAAUACAGUGGCGGUCUCGCCGCAGCCUCUCCUGCGCAGUAGUUUGCACAAGUACUCCCAAACCCAAUGUGAACCUGCGCAGUAGUUUGCACAAGUACUCCCAAACCCAAUGUGAACCUGCCCAGUAGUUUGCACAAGUACUCCCAAACCGAAUGUGCUCGUGCGCAGUAAUU
Molecule: ribosomal RNA, 558 nt
Filed under: uncultured Trichoderma
Lineage: Eukaryota; Fungi; Ascomycota; Sordariomycetes; Hypocreales; Hypocreaceae
Description: eukaryotic LSU rRNA
Rfam family: 5.8S ribosomal RNA (bases 167-320)
Source: RNAcentral